CCCAAAUAUUGGCAUCUUGCGAACGCGCUCGGCUGUGCAGUCCCCUUCUCUGAUCAAUCUGUUGCACAAAAGUUGCUCAGCGGAACACGGUCGGUGGGGAUUUGAACUGGCAAGAUGAGCGACUGUGAAGGCAAAGUUCAUCGCAAAUCGAUCAGGCUGAUCGCUGCCGCUUGUAACGGCAUGGGGAUCGGGAAAGACGGGAUUUUACCCUGGAGUCUGCCGAAGGAAUUUAAAUUCUUUUUGGACACCAUCACCUCUGUUUCCAGUCCAGACAAGAAAAACCUGCUGAUUUGGGGGAAACGGUGCUGGAUAUCCUUCCCAGAGAGUCUGCAUCCCUUGGCAAACUGCAUUCAUGUGGUCUUGAGCAGGACCAUGGGCUGUGUGCCAGACCAUGCUCACUAUCUCUGCCAUGAUUUACCAAGUGUGAUACAGUUAGGAUCCACCCAUCCUCUCAGUGAUAAGAUUGAAACCAUAUGGAUCUUAGGUGGGGCUGAGUUAUAUAAAGAGUCCUUGAAACAUCCAUGGUGUGACUACAUCUACCUCACUCAGGUCAUGGCAGAUUUUGACUGUGACACGUUCUUCCCAGAGUUUGAUCGGGAGAUUUACAAACUGCAGGAUGAGUUUCCUGGUGUGCCAAGUGAAAUUCAAGAGGAUCAAGGUAUCAAGCUCAAAUUUCAGGUUUUCAAGAAGGACAUGCAUUAGAAGAACUGAUUAAAGAGGAAUGAUUUGAGUUUGAACCAAAUUCAAGUGCACAUUAUGGAGUUUUUCAGGACUUGAAUGCAGUAAUUGCUCCCUUCUCACAGAGACAAGGGCCUAAUUAAUCCUCGAAGGGACACUGAAGCCUGCGUGGCUUUUGGAGUCCAACAAGCACGAGUUGGGGCCUCACAUGAGGGUACUGUCCGCCUCCAUGCCCAGCACAAGGAGCCUGUGGUGCGUUUCUCACAUUCAUCUUGUUCAUUUUUUUGUCCUUGUGCAUUACUCUUGCGCUUUGGCAGGUGGAAUAAAUGAACACAGUUUGCUCUUCUCCCAGGAGGGGAGAGGUGGUCAGAGAUCCGGCUGGCUGUGGCCUGGUGUCCCCCAGGGUCUCCUGCGCACCUUAGACUGGGGUUUCUCCAGGGGCCUGCCGAGCAAGGCAUCUCGGAGCUGAACCGAGGCUCUGACCAUCCUUAAAAUAGAUGAUAAAUUGCAGAGCAUAUCCAGAUUUUUUUUUUUUGCUCUUGCUCUUCUGUGAAGUUUCCUUAAAAAUUUAAAUGCCCUGUAAAUCAAGCGGUAGAACACAGAAAGUUCCAGGUGGUCAGCUUGACAUUAUGAUCAUUUCUGGUGUCUUUGAGUGACGUCUCCGAACAGACAGAGGUAAAAGCCUGGGUGAUGUUCCCAUUUGCUCACACAAAAAAUAGAAAAUGGAUGAAGUGAGCAAAUAGAUACCCUGUUCUCUUUCAUUAUAUGUUUAAAUGCAAUUUCAAGGGAAAGCAAAUUCUAAUGCAGUGUAAAGUUUUAAAAAAGACUGCUAUAAUUGGGCACAUUCAUAGAGAACCCAGACAGACUAGUUUAGCACUAGUUUUGUCAGAUUCUGGCAGUUAAAAUUAUUCUGUCUAGUCUAUAACCAUAUACAUGUUUGCCAGGCA
This is a non-coding RNA of Lepisosteus oculatus (spotted gar), 1625 nucleotides long. NCBI's taxonomy places the organism in Eukaryota, Metazoa, Chordata, Actinopteri, Semionotiformes, Lepisosteidae. The record is from RefSeq and is a predicted model, not a curated record.